Molecule: long non-coding RNA, 8932 nt
Organism: Aquila chrysaetos chrysaetos
Lineage: Eukaryota; Metazoa; Chordata; Aves; Accipitriformes; Accipitridae
Exons: 3
Source: RefSeq, a predicted model, not a curated record
AGUUGGAAGACGGAGGCAAACAGAGAGAAAUGGAAGGAAGAGUCAACUUUUUAAACAGGAAAGAAAGAAGGCUAGAACCUAAAAACCCACAAGCCUGAAGGAGUGUGCAGUCCUCUGCAGCGGGACACCUUCCAAACACAUCUGGACAAUGCGCUACAUCUGCCGUGUGGUGACUUAGACCAAAUACACCUGAAAGCUUUCCUCAUUUCCUUGGUGAAAUGUUUAUUCACAGAAGGUGCCAGCAACAAAAGAGUCAAUAGGAGAUUGCUGGAGAACACCCAUUAAUUGGUUUCAGGAGAUCUUCAAACUGGAUUCAGAAACAAAUCAAAGCAGUGUAAGGAAAAGAAGAGGUUUGGCGUCACAAUAUGGACCUACACGUUUCUCAGCUGGUAAAAACCAUAGUCCAUAUUUCUUCUUAGCAAACGUUUGGCUCUACCCCAACUUCAGCAAUCACAAAGACUAAUAUAUAAGAAAGACUGCAUUAAAAAUAUAAUGUAAAAAUAUGUCCUUAAUAAAAGGAAGCAAGACUUGCAAAAUUCUUUCUUCUUUCUCUGCAGAAAAAAAGGUUUCUAGCUACGAGCCACUUUUUGCCUCUUUAAGUCUCUGUGCUUCUUAUUCCACUUCUUUAGCAGGCUUGAAAUGAAUGAAGAGGUAAAAGAUGAGAGAGUGACAUAGGUAGUAAAUUAUGUAAGUUAUAUAAAUGCAUGGCAAUAGCAAGCAGAUUUCAAUGCUAAUGCGGACGGCAGAGAUUUCUACCGUUAAGGAAGAAAGGAGGGAACCUGCAGCAUCUGAAGAGAAAUCGGCUGACUGAACUCCAGCGCCUGCUCCAGCCUGCAGAGAUGGGAGACUGCCACAGAAGGGGAAAGUGGAAGCGACUCCUGAAACCUGCAGAAGUGACAAUUCCCUGAAGCUUGAACUUCUGCAAUAAAGGGAAAGAGAUCAUUAACUGCCAGCGAGGAGCGUUUGUGGAGGAGAGAAGAAAAAAGAAAAAAAAAAAACCAAAACCUCUUUAACUCUGGAGUUUUUAAAAGUGCCCUUGUUUGUUUUCUUGGCAGAGGAGCGGAGCAUUUGGCACCCAUCCUUGGAAGGUGGCCCAACUGUAAAAAUGCUGGGGUUGGCCCUUUCCAUGCUGUUGCUAAGCGGAUGGCCCAAUAGCCGGCAGGGCCUUCCAAACCCCACCCUGCGCUCCGGCCGGAUCCAGGCUCCAGCCCGCCUGUAUUAAAAGCCUCUCUUCUCCCACUUGCUAAUAAUAAUAAUUUAAAAAAAAAAAAAAAAAAAGCCAAAGAAGUGCCGAGUUUAUGCAAGCAAACCCGACCCGGCUCAUGCCAAGAGCUCAGCAGAGAGGAGCUGGGGAGCACCAGCCCGUGCCCGGCUCCCGCUGCGGAGCCCCGCGGGGAUGGAUGGGGCUCCGCGCUGGGCUCCUGUCUGACUCGUUCUGCUCUCCCUCCUGCUCUGCUCCCACAGCCUCAAGGUAUAGGGCAGAAACAAAGGGUUUUUUUUCUCCCCCCCCCCCCCCCCCCCAAAUCCUUUUUUCUUUUUUAAUAACUUUAUCAACUCCGAACCCUGGGAUGAUUUGCGCGUUUCAUACUCUCUCUGUGCUUUUACUCUUGGUUAGAAUUUGGAGCCUUUCCAUUUCUCAGUUAAAAACUCUUUUCUCUCCUUCUUUUUCUUUUCUUUCCCCCCAGUUGUUUGUGGUUUUGCAUGAAAGGGCAUUGUUAACUCUUUCACCGCCCGUUUGGAAAGGGCUGUCUUGGCUCAGCCGUUACAGGCAUUUCUGGAAGAGCAGAAUAAAGCGCUGGGUUUCAAAAACGCAGGCUGAAAAAAGAGGAGUAGUGAUGGAGAAGAUUUACAUUGCAACUGCUACUGUAGGAUAACCCGAGCUAGAAAAGCAGAGCGCCUCUUAUUUAUUUACAAGAGCCCUGACUGCCUCUGCAAGGCACUAGCUGAGGCCUUUCCAAGCUGGUGCUCAAAAGCGUCGGUACAGGGGGGAGAAGGGGACAAGUUUGGUAAAAGCGUGGGAGAAGGUGGCUGUCCCCCCUGCCCCGCGUGGACACGGCAGCCAGGCCACCUCGGGCUGCCGCCGGGCAGGACUGACACCCCUCCCCGGUUCAGUGUGUGCGCGAAGCCUUGCUUUUGUGUCCAAAACAGGGAAAGCUGUGCUUUUUUGCUACCUAACUGUAAAACGAGCAAAAGGUGCACUUUUCCAGCGAGGCCGUGUUAAACGCAGUGUCACACUUGCCUGUGGGUAAACAGGAGGUCCUCGACAUACCAGCGAUGCACAUAAAGCGUGGGAAGAGCUGGGGAAAUUUUCACUGGAAGUUGUAAAAAGAGGAGGAUUAAUUUUCCCUAUUGUCCGUAGAGAUGAAAGACGGGGAAGUUGGCAUCUGUCAUUUAAACCUUUUUUUUUCCUCUUCAUCAACACUUGCAGCUGCAGAAAGUGGGUAUCGUCUCACUCCCGUGGGGAGACUGACCCGGGUGCGCACGUGUACGCUUGUGCUGCUCGCAAGAGCUUUCCCAGCUGAAGUCCUUGAGCUUCGAGUGAAUGCUAGAAACAGAGAUGACUUAAAUAUUUGGCAGCAGUUAGGAUAAGUUAUCUUUUUCUUUUAAAAAAUAACAUGUUAUGCAAGCAGGUUUUAUUAUAUUUAUAGGUAUUUAUUAUUUCUUUCUGUAGAUGAUAAAAUAAUCUUGUUGGAACCAAUAGGAAUGUAAAUUUAACAUUUCAUACUGUAUGUGAAUUAAACGACAACAUUUCUCGUAUAAGUUCUAAAAGCACAUUGAAAAAAACCCUUCCUAUAUUUGCACAUCCUGUGGUAAUUAACAAAUGAGUAUUUUCCUUUUUUAGGCUUUGAAAGAAAUACUUUUAUAGUGCUUAAAACAAGUGCAUAUUUUUCCUCCCCAGUAUGAUUGCUGUUCUUAAAUAUUUGUAUGCACGUUUGUAUGUAUGUUUGUUGUGCCUGUUAGUUCAGUUUUGUCGAACAAAUGGAGAAAAGGAAAAUAUAGAUUUUUAACCACAACAACAUUCCCUGCAGACAGGAUUUUUUUGUACUGCUAUAGAAAUGCAGCAGCUCGGAGGAAGAGCACACCAUGUAAUUCUACAUACAUCACAGCCCUUUUUUAUUACUCUUACCACACCAGCUGAAUGGAGAAUUACAAAAACUAUGUCUCUGAUUCUGUAAAGAUUUUUAAAAGAGGCUUAACUUUAGGCAUACAGGUAACUUCAAAGGGAAUUAAGUGAAAAUAGAAGUUGUGAGUAGUUCAUGACAGACGGAUGCAUUAGAGAGAAUGAUCUACACAAAACUUGAUCCAGAAGUUCCGGAAUUACGUUAAUUGACCUUGGUGAGCUAAACAAAAGCUCAUUGGAAAUUAUGUUCAGAAGUUAAACCCAAGACUUUUACAAAAUAAACCCCAGUGUAGCGGAUAUUCAUAUUAUUGCGUAUCUGCUGACUUUUCUAUAGGUAAAGGGUGACAUUCCGGCACUGCAGAAGGGAGUGGGAGUAUUGCCAUUGAUUUUACUGAUGCUGGAAUUUUGACCCAAACACUUACAUUUCUUCUGGCUCUGAGGUUUUUUUAUAAACUCUGACAUCAUUUUCUGUAUCUAUGCUGUCACAUUGCAUGGGGUGCAAAAGCAUUUUAAAAUUAACAAUGGACUUGAGCCGCAGAGCACAGCUCAUUGAUCAAACCUCUGAAUCCAUCUCGACAAAGUUUGAGUAGAUGUUUGAUUCAAGCCUAACGUAUAGACACGUCUCUUUGUACGUUCACCGUUUUGUUGGCACACCUGUUGUGGCCCGGUUGGGAAAUUUUGUGCCUGUAGCAAAUCCUCGUCUAGUGGGGCAAACCGAGCAUCGAUUUUGUUUCACCACGUCAGAGCAAGCUAUGUCAACUACUGCACAUCACUUUGUGAUCAUUCUAAAGCCACUCCAACAAAAAGCCGCCUCAGCAAGCUGUCGUUUUAAUGUUUUAUCCAUCUUCUUUAUGCGGACGUUUGCUCCACAUUUCAGUGAAGCCUCAUCUCUCCUGCCCACCGCCAUAGGCUACGAGUCUGCAGCAAAACUCAGUCUCGAACAUGUCACAUAUAACGAAACAGGAAAAUUCCACCCAAAACAUUCUGAUCACUGGCUUUCGUCCUGAAAUCCCCUCCCGGUAAGGAAGAAGAAGAGGACAAGGAAGACAGUGGUAGGUGACGCCUGCGCAGGAGCACUGCUAGACCUCUUGCAGCCAAGAGCAUUAUCCUGGUGGUUUGCAGCGGGACACGGGACACCAUCCCCGUGCUGUGCCUGCAGCGGGAACCCCUGUGUGCCUCGCUGCCGCAGCCACGUGUGGGAUGCCCGUGUCCAUUUAUCACUUCAAACGAAACUGAACAGCUAUAUUGUAAUACUGCAAAUUAGAGGCCUUCUAUAUCAUAAUUUUACAGCACUUAAGUUUGUGUUAUCUUUUAGCUCUUUAUUCAUCUACCUAGUUAAGAUUUUGAAGACCUAAUCUAGUUCCCAUUAAGACAAAGAGAAUUCCUUUCUCUGUGAAGUGUUAUACCUCGGGAAGCCAAAACCUUUGGUGUCUGCCUUAGACAUUUAUAUCGUACAGGCAUUAACGGCUCAACCUAUAGAUUUUUCUCCAUCAGUGGGGAAGUUUUAUUCUUAUCCCCAUUUUACAGGAUGAAAUCUCUUAUUCAGUGAAGUAUGUGAGCAUGUGCCAGUUUCAACAGAGCUGGUGGAAUCUUUCCAGGAUAGACUAAGUUUGCCAAAAGUGCAAUUUGAAGUGGAAAACUAUUCACAAAUUCAGGUUGCAUGUAAUGAAGAGUUUUGUCAGAAAGAAAAUCAGGGGAAUUUCUUUUCUCGGGAAAGUUUAAAUGUUUCAUUUCAGUGUUUUCAAAAAAAUCUAUGUCAUUUUGACCUGUCUUAAACCACUUACUUUUCAAAGUUAACCUUUUUUGUUCAUUAUUAUUUCGAAAGUAAUACGAUAAAUAGAAUACUAGACUUCUCAGUAAGAGAAAGAAUUGUCACUGCAUUAAGUUUCCUUUCGAUGUUUUGAAAUGGAGGAUUUUUUCAGCUAGAACUGUUUGUUGCUUAAAUUUGGGGUUAAAAACAAUAUGAAAACUUCCAUUCUAGAUCAAUCAAAGCAAUCUGAGUUGAUCCAAAAUUAAGCUUUGGGGGGGGGCUUCUAUGUCUGUUCCACCAACACAUUGUGUGUUUUGGGUUCAACCUCACCUGAAUCAUUUUUUCAAUUUGCCGUUCAGCCACCAGACCGAAGGGAACACGUUCGUACAGCUCCGACUCCCAACACUUUAACAGCCCUAUUGUUUUCAGUUGACUCCUGUGAAACUACCUGUGCUGGGAGUCAGCCACGUGGCUUUGAGUCUCCCUGAACUGAUGCCUAAACAAACUAUAAGAAGUCAAACAGGGUGACGGGCAGAGCCCGGCGCAGAGCCCCGGCGUCCUGGCUGGCCCCUUUGGUGCUCUGAGUUCAAGACCCUUUUUCUCGUCCAGGUUUGCCAAGCUCUCAGCAACACAUCUGGCUUAAGAAGGAAGGAUGGGGGCUGAAAGGGGAAUUAUUUUCUUUGCAGCUUUCAACGCUUAUGACCCAGAUUGUGGAAGUGUGUAUGGUGGGCAGCAAAGGGAGGAAAUGCCUGGGUGAAUUUGAAAUGGACAUCUGGGCUAAAAUUUUCAGUGGUUCUUAUAUUAGCCUAAAAUGUUCUUCUUCCUCUUGUGAACAUAGCUUCCUUUAAAUAAAUACCCAGAUAGCUUCCGUAAUUACCAAGAGCUUUCCCAUCUUCUGUUAAUAGCUUCUUCUAAUAAUGCAAAAUAAGUGAUAAAAUAAAAAUGAGUUGGAAUAAUUUUGCAAAGAUGACUUUAACCAAUUAGUCUGUUAAGGGAACAGUGGGAACAACAAAGACAUAAAUUUAAACAUAUACCUCUAAAUAGCAUAAUUACCUUUUAAGUUUCAAACUGUACAUGUGAAAAAAAAAAAAAAAAAAAGAUUCCAACCAGCCAAGCGAGAAGGAAGCAUGAUCCAAAGGAUGCUUGCUACACACCAAAAUAUUUUCCACCAAACUAAGUUUUGUUAACUUCCCAAUGCCAUGUGAUAUGUAUCUGCAGCUCACUCAUACUGCCUUAAUUUGUUGCUGUGUGUGACAAGUUGUAGUCUGAUCUAGCCUGACACACCAUGGUACGCACAGUACACAUAUAUCAUGAUAAGACAGUUGAAAACCAAAGACAAACAGCCCCAAAGAGAGAGUUAAACAGCAUGAUCCAGCAGAGCCCUGCAUCCAUCAGAGGGAGAGUAUUUGAAAUGGCACACCUUCCACUUGCAAGUAAAUAAAUACUGAUUGCAUGCUAUAGCUGGGAGUGAACAAGAUAAUUCAAUCCAGUGUUCCCAUGGACGACUUUGUUUCUUUCCUUCCCUGUGUAUUAGUUAACGUUCUUUGUAACGACAUCUUUUUUAUCAAUGUGUGGUGAAAACCAGGGUGUCUUGGACCCCCAAACCCCACUGAAAUGAGAAGGGUGGAAUCGCUUGCUGCCCGCUGGAGAAAGAGAUGAACCCAGCUGCUGCUGUUGUAACACGAUGCUCCAUGAGUGAAGAUCUUCUGUUCUUUAUUAUGUUGGUAAAAGCACCAGUAAUUCAACUAGCUUCGUUUCUGGCCAACUUGGGGUUCCCCUUCUAAGGACACAAAAUAUUUCUGGGCUAUAACCAAAGGAGUUUCUUUACCCAGGAUUCCUCUGGUGAAGAGGAUGAGCUCUUCAGUGUCUGCACGUUCAGGCAGAAGCUACUGCCCAGUUGAAGCAACGUUAGUUGCAUUCACAUUACUAAAAUGUUUGGUAGGAAACAGGUGACUUUUUGUCAUUUAGUGAAUGAAGGCAUUGGUAAUUAUGCCAAUGAGCUCACGUUGAAGGGUUCAUUAUAAAACACCACAACAAAUACAUCUGCUUUGCUCCUUAUGCCACAGGUAUCACAUCUGACGUGUUUCUGGCGUGCUGGGAUCUAGAGUUUUGGGGCAUUACACAGAUCUGAUUUUCACGCCUAGCAAACUGGCACACACUAACACAAUCUUUUUUGUCACCUAUAUUCGGGCCACAAAAGAAUAUAAAAAUCCACGUAAACAUGGCAGUAAUUUGUAAUGAAUUCUUGAGCGCUUCAUUUUAUAAAGACUCUGGUGGUUUGACCAAGUGAAAGCUGCCUUCUCUUAGGUCCCUUUGGGCUCUGCAUUGUGAGGGUCUAGCUGAGAAACUGAGAAUUUCAGUGGUUUUUCAAGUUUAUCUUAAAGUGUACUUAAAGCUGUGUCUGUAGUGUUGUACUGCCUUGCUCUGAGUAACUGGGAUGAUGAACUGGGCAAGUGCUGCGUCUGGUUAGUGUUUCUACAGACUGUGCAGGAUGAUCACUCAUCCAGAAAGAAACACUUUCCACUCUACGUGAGCAUCAGUGGAAAUGCUGAGAGUGUUCAGCGCUGUUCUCUUUUUAUCAUAGAAAAGUGACAUUCUCUAUGGACCUGCUCCAAAGCCCGAUCAUGUCAAUGAAAGGACUCCUAUUGACUUCAGUGUGACUUGGAGUGGUUCCUAAAAAUGGGAACAAAGCAGCAGACUUCAUAAAUCUUCUGAUGUGGUCCUUAAAGCAAGAAUUCAGACCCCAUGGGGCAAAGGUUUGUGAUUAGAAAGACGAUUUGGCCUCUCUUUCUUCCUGAACUGAACCAUUCAGGUCUUACUGAAGAUUCGUUCUUUGAGAAAAAUCAUAUGCCAGUCAGCACGGGGGAUAGUCAGUCUGUUAAAUGCUACAUUAUGCCUUUGACUUUUCAUUAUGGUGUGAGAUUUGAUUAAGGCAGUCAAUGACCCCAUGCUUAGGAACAGAAGGAAAAAAAGCAAAAAAAAAAAAAAAGCCAGUGGAGCCAUAGGGCUAAAAUAUGUUGCUGAGAAGUGAAACAAUUGAAGGUGUGGAGGAGAGAGGAAUUAUCACAGCACUGUUGGCACCAAAGUGGUAUCGAGAGGCUCUAAACUGCCAUAACACACAUGCUGGCACUAUUUCAUCCUACACCUUUACCACAAUGCAGACCCUGUUUGUGUAGGAGAGCUUCCCACCAGGAGAGAAGAGGUGCACGCGGAUGCCCACACUCCAAAAUCGCAGGCAAGGCUUGCCAGCAGCUGCCGCUCUCCGCAAUCCAUUGCCUGGUUAUGGCUGCGUUCCUAGACCUUUCCUAGGGAGGUUUUUAAAGGUACUUAGGAAAUGAACAGGAGUUGAACCUUUAUGUCCCUUUGUGCCAUUGACAGAAACCCACUUUUAUUUCCUUUCCUAGCGGAUACGACCUUUCCUGCUCUCCCUUUAGACCUGCUGCGUGUCCUCCGUAACGUAGUGCCGUGCCUGCCUAUGUUAAAACACAUUGGGAAGUGAAAGCCUGCUCACUGCACAACUUCCUGUCACGACUCUUUCAGCAUUUGACUCACAAGUGUAAUUUGGCUUUAUCACUCCCUUAAGUGCACUGUAGAUGCCUGAUUUGCCAGGCACAUAAGGCGAGCCAUCACGUUACCGUGUGGAACCUCUUUUCCACACUGCUCUAUAUAUGUCAGUCAACCUUUUAAUUUGAUUAGGAGGUUAAUUUGCAUGGUACUCUGUGUAUUCUUUUACUGGAAUAUAUAUAUACUAUGAAAUGUAUGAUGUAAGUUAAUCCAAAGCUAAAGAGGCCAAUAAAAGCUAGUUCCUUAAGGAGGAAGAAAAGAGAGCACAGCUCAAUGGAAGAAAAGCUUGGUAGGAGUCCAGAGUCCUGACUCAUUGUUAGCCUCAAGAGCGUCCUGACUAGCAUCAACGUGUUCUGGAAGCAAUGUGAUUUUCCUACCGUAUUAAUGAAAAAAUAAUAAAAUGUAAUGCUAAAACAAUAGGACAUACCAGAAAAUUUCCACUGAGGAAUGGGGCUCUGUAAUAAGCUCAUGUCAGAAUGAUUUCCAUCCUGUCCACA